GGUCAAGUAGAGAAGGGCGCACGGUGAAUGCCUAGGCACUGGAAGCCGAUGAAGGACGUGACAAACGACGAAAUGCUUCGGGGAGCGGUAAGUACGCAGAGAUCCGGAGAUAUCCGAAUGGGGGAACCCGGCACCGCGAGGUGUCACCUUGAAUGUGAAUAGAUAGCAUUAAGGAGGAAGACGCAGUGAACUGAAACAUCUAAGUAGCUGCAGGAAGAGAAAGAAAGAUCGAUUUCCCAAGUAGCGGCGAGCGAACAGGAAAGAGCCCAAACCUAAUGGCUUGCCAUUAGGGGUAGAAGGACUGUAAAAAGCCGAAUGGAAGGAUAGCAGAAUUAUCUGGGAAGAUAAGCCAAAGAGGGUGAGAGCCCCGUAAGCGAAAUCCGGAAA
Molecule: ribosomal RNA, 387 nt
Filed under: Lactobacillus iners
Lineage: Bacteria; Bacillati; Bacillota; Bacilli; Lactobacillales; Lactobacillaceae
Description: partial 23S ribosomal RNA
Rfam family: Bacterial large subunit ribosomal RNA
Source: RNAcentral